UACAGAGGUGGCAAGCGUUGUUCGGAAUUACUGGGCGUAAAGGGCGCGUAGGCGGUCUUGUAAGUCCCGUGUGAAAUCCCUCGGCUCAACUGAGGAACCGCACGGGAAACUGCUUGGCUUGAGUUCGGGAGAGGGAAGCGGAAUUCCGGGUGUAGCGGUGAAAUGCGUAGAUAUCCGGAGGAACACCGGUGGCGAAGGCGGCUUCCUGGACCGACACUGACGCUGAGGCGCGAAAGCUAGGGGAGCAAACGGG
RNAcentral lists this ribosomal RNA (253 nucleotides) under uncultured bacterium. RNAcentral's name for it is "partial 16S ribosomal RNA". It matches the Rfam family "Bacterial small subunit ribosomal RNA", at positions 524 to 776 of the family's 1533-position model. The record is from RNAcentral.